Molecule: ribosomal RNA, 447 nt
Filed under: uncultured bacterium
Lineage: Bacteria
Description: SSU rRNA
Rfam family: Bacterial small subunit ribosomal RNA
Source: RNAcentral
AGAGCGAACGCUGGCGGCAGGCCUAACACAUGCAAGUCGAGCGCCCGUAGCAAUACGGGAGCGGCAGACGGGAUAGUAACACGUGGGAACGCGCCCUUCGGUUCGGAAUAACUCAGGGAAACUUGAGCUAAUACCGAAUACGCCCUUACGGGGAAAGAUUUAUUGCCGAAGGAACGGCCCGCGUCCGAUUAGCUAGUUGGUGAGGUAAUGGCUCACCAAGGCUACGAUCGGUAGCUGGUCUGAGAGGAUGACCAGCAUCACUGGGACUGAGACACGGCCCAGACUCCUACGGGAGGCAGCAGUGGGGAAUAUUGGACAAUGGGCGCAAGCCUGAUCCAGCCAUGCCGCGUGGAUGAUGAAGGCCUUAGGGUUGUAAAGUCCUUUUAACGGGAAGAUAAUGACGGUACCCGUAGAAUAAGCCCCGGCUAACUUCGCGCCAGCAGCCGC